UACGGAGGAUGCGAGCGUUAUCCGGAUUUAUUGGGUUUAAAGGGUGCGUAGGCGGACUGUCAAGUCAGCGGUAAAAUUGAGAGGCUCAACCUCUUCCCGCCGUUGAAACUGGUGGUCUUGAGUGGAUGAGAAGUACGCGGAAUGCGUGGUGUAGCGGUGAAAUGCAUAGAUAUCACGCAGAAUUCCGAUUGCGAAGGCAGCGUACCGGCAUCCAACUGACGCUGAGGCACGAAAGCGUGGGGAUCAAACAGG
RNAcentral lists this ribosomal RNA (252 nucleotides) under uncultured bacterium. Its description in RNAcentral is "partial 16S ribosomal RNA". It matches the Rfam family "Bacterial small subunit ribosomal RNA", at positions 524 to 776 of the family's 1533-position model. The record is from RNAcentral.